RNAcentral lists this long non-coding RNA (2523 nucleotides) under Homo sapiens (human). RNAcentral describes it as "HSALNT0138257". Lineage: Eukaryota; Metazoa; Chordata; Mammalia; Primates; Hominidae. The record is from RNAcentral.
UUUUUAAAAUUAAUAAAAUAAAUGAUUUUCAAAAAUGGAAUGACAAGUUACAAUGGUAGAAUGAGAGAUUUAUUGCUGGGCAUAGUGGCUUAAGCCUGUAAUACCAGCACUUUGGGAGGCUGAGGUGGGUGGAUUGCUUGAGCCCAGGAAUUUGAGACCAGCCUGGGAAACAUGACGAAACCUCGUCUCUACAAAAAAUACUUAUAUUAGUCAAGUGUGGUUGCAUGCACCUAUAGUCCCAGCUACUGGACUGAGUCUGGAAGGUCGAGUCUGCAGUGAGCUGUGGUCAUGCCACUGUAGUCCAGCCUGGGUGACAGAGGGAGACCCUAUCUCAAAAAAAAAAAAAAAAAAAAAAAAAGAAGAAAAAGAAAAGAUCUAUAAAAAUCCCUGUAUAUUUUACUACAUUAAUUAUCAGAGAACAUUUGAGGAACUUCGUUAGUUUAAAAGAUAUUUCACCUUGGAAACAUGUGCCCAUUUUUCUUACAUUAGAUGCAUUUUAAUCUUAUUCUUGUUGAAAGGCGAGUUUCAGUCACGUUUUUGAUUAUUCUCUUUAUGAUUGAUAUUCAUUUAAAAAUAUCAGUAUUAUUUGAAAGAUAUAACUACUUUUCUUAUACAUUCUAAUAUGGGUAUUACUAUCCCAUACAAUUUGUAAAAGUUUAUAAAAAAUGUAUUAUGCUUUCUCAGAAUUGAUGAUGAGGCAAGUAUAUAAAAAUCAAAUUCCAAAGAUGCUAAAAAGGAAAACAAUAUUAAUUAUGUUUUAUACUUUUUGGUCUUAGCCUAUAAUUAUAUAAAAUCCAAAAUCAAAAGUAAAAUUACAUUGCGACAAGGUGAUUGCAAGUACAUUUUAUCUGUUUUAAAAUGAAUAAUCAAGAACAAGUGUAAUUAUACUGGGAUUCUUUGCUGAAUAUAGUCAUUGAGUUUCUAUUACCUCAAUAUGUUACCAAAUUUUGUAAAAUAAAAACAAUUUACUAGAAGGAGUUAAUACAUUAAGGUGAUCAUUUGACACUUUCUUUCUUAUAUUCUGAUCAACUUUUAUAAAGUAAAUAUUCACUCUUUGUUCUGUUUUUUAAAUUGGAGGCUUCUUAAAGAAGAAUGUGCCCACAUUGGCAAAAUAAGAACAAGCAUUUUGCCUAAUGAGAAAUGAAUGCUGUCACUGAAUGAUGUAAAAUUUCUUUAAAAAGGAGAGAGAGGGAGCACUAAAUGUUUAAAGAAAAAUCUACCUACCUAUCCAUGUACCUAUAUUUUAAUAAAGUAUGUAAAAUAAUCUAAAACACAAGGGACUAUACAUAGAAACUCUUUUUAUCUCUUUGUUUCUUUUGAUCUUUAGAAUAUUGCUCAUUGGAAGUAAUCAGGAUAACAGAAAAGUUAUCACCUUAAAAUGAAUGUUCUUCAUAAAAAAGAUUAUUCAUAAGAAAUCUAAGGACUUUCUUUUUAUUUUCUUUUUUUUUUUAAAGAGAUCAAGUCUUGCUUUGGCUAAUGCAGUUUGUAUCACUUUCUUAUGUCCUCCUUCCUGAUAUAUUUUAUAGGAGCACUUGAAAAAUGAACUGCUUAGAGUAGAAAAAAUCACAUAAAUUAUAAAGUAAUUCUAGCAUAGACUUGAGAAAAUGGUUUCUUUAUGAUUCAUUUUCAUCAUAUUAUCAUGUUAAAAAGCUUUAUUUAGGAUUCUUUCUUUGCUUUUGCUAAAUGUAUCUCAGUCCCUUUUAUUACCUUCUAGAUUUACUUGUUUUGUGUUUAGAAUUGUUUUGUUUUUCAUACCCUUCAUUCUUCACUUUUGUUUUUUUCAGCAAAAUAUCAAAACAUUUGCAAAUCGUAGAGAUUAUCCUUUAAAUAAAUACAAAUCUGCAUGCCACCAAAAUAUAUACAUCAUCCUAUGUGAUUUACUUUUAUGGUGUUUAGUAAGAAAUAUUGCUUUAUUUUCUUGUAAAAAAUUUCCAGUGGUAAAAAUAAAUCAACAUAGUAGAAUAAACGUCAAUAGUUUGAAAAUGAAAUCUAAACCCAUAAACAAAUUAUUGACAAAUGCCUUUUAUCUCAAUUAUACACCUAUUGGAAAAUUUCUUUAUAAGACACAGCCAUUUCCAAUAUAUUUGUGAAAAGAGUUGUUUAAAACCUAUUUAUCACUUUGAAUAAGUUCCACGUUUUUUGACACAUACCAAUAACAUAGAAUAAUAUAUUUUUUCUUGUUUAUGUUAUAGCUUUUCACUGAGUACCUUGUAAAGGCAUGAGACACAGUGUGAUUGGCAUAUGUGGUGGUGUUAGUGGUAUAUGGCCAAAGCACCAGCUUAUACUCUAAUGACCCAGGUCUAGACCUCAUGCUACCUCUUGCUAAUAUUGUCCCCUCAGGUACACGUAAUUAAUUGUAAAGUGCUGGUGACUACAUAUGACCUUCCUACUCAACAGGGAUGUUGAGAGGAUAAAAAAAAAAUGAGAUAUUUCUCUAAAGUGCUUUUUUUUUUUCUUUUUGUCAUGGCUAACAGGAAUAUUUGACAAAAGACAAUAGAAUUUCUAUACAAAACUUUUCUUCUA